RNAcentral lists this ribosomal RNA (484 nucleotides) under uncultured bacterium. RNAcentral describes it as "partial 16S ribosomal RNA". It matches the Rfam family "Bacterial small subunit ribosomal RNA", at positions 30 to 507 of the family's 1533-position model. The record is from RNAcentral.
AUUGAACGCUGGCGGCAUGCUUUACACAUGCAAGUCGAACGGCAGCGCGGUCUUCGGCCUCUCGUCGGGGUGCGGACUGGUGGGUAAUUCAUCAGAACGUCCGCAGUAGUUUUUGAGAGCGGGGCAACAGCCGGAUAAAUACGCCAUUCGCCCUUACGGUCUAAGCGGGAAACCGGAAGACCUCCGGCUAUUGCGCCAUCGGAUGUCGGAUUAGCUAGUUGGUGGGGUAAAGGCUUACCAAGGCGACGAUCCGUAGCUGGUCUGAGAGGACGACCAGCCACACUGGGACUGAGACACGGCCCAGACUCCUACGGGAGGCAGCAGUGGGGAAUUUUGGACAAUGGGGGCAAGCCUGAUCCAGCCAUGCCGCGUGGGGGAAGAAGGCCUUCGGGUUGUAAACCGCUUUUGUUGGGGAAGAAAUGCUCUGGGCUAAUACCCCGGGGGGAUGACGGUACCGGAAGAAUAAGCACCGGCUAACUACGUG